Molecule: ribosomal RNA, 273 nt
Filed under: uncultured bacterium
Lineage: Bacteria
Description: partial 16S ribosomal RNA
Rfam family: Bacterial small subunit ribosomal RNA
Source: RNAcentral
UACGGAGGGUGCAAGCGUUAAUCGGAAUUACUGGGCGUAAAGCGUACGUAGGCGGUUAUUUAAGUCAGAUGUGAAAGCCCCGGGCUUAACUUGGGAACUGCAUUUGAAACUGGGUAACUAGAGUUUAGUAGAGGGGAGUGGAAUUUCAGGUGUAGCGGUGAAAUGCGUAGAGAUCUGAAGGAACACCAGUGGCGAAGGCGACUCCCUGGACUAAAACUGACGCUGAGGUACGAAAGCGUGGGUAGCAAACAGGAUUAGAAACCCGGGUAGUCC